UUAUUUGGAGCUUGCCUCCAGGCCUGGGGCCUCCCCUCAUGGACCUCAGUUUCCUUAUCUAGUUUUUUUAAAUUGCGGAGUGUUCCAGCAUUGUUCAAGCCUAAGAAUGCUCAGAAACCAGAGAACCUCUUUCUUCAUGGGAAAUUUUUCUUCUCAGAAGUAACCAAAACAGAUGAAAACCACGGCUAUUCUGGUUGGAAGGUGGUGGGGACAGGCAUUUUCCCUCAGCUUUUCAUCCUGUGUGGUCCUGAGUACUGGAAGAACCUCUAGUUCCUAAAAAAGCACCAUCUGAAAAUCCUGGGAUGAUGAAUUGGAACACGAGCAUUUCCUCUCCUGACAAGCAAGUGUAUAUAGCAGCUCUGCAAGGUUCUGUGUGGCACCUCGGGAAAGUGGUCCAGCGACAGGGGACACCUGGGGAAGAACGAAGCUCACCAGGGCUCAGGAAACAAGGGCUGCACCCUACAGAGGAACAGGAGUGGAGCAGAAGCUCUGUGGCCGUCAAGCAGGAGGUGAGGUUGUCCUGGACCAGCGCAGUGGCUGCUGAAUGGAAAACGGGACAGGCAUAGAGGGUACAUGAAGGUGUGAGUGGUCUUUCCCAUCUACCUCAGGUCCAUGAAACUUCCCCGAAGAGGGGAUUUAUGAUAGGGCUACUCCCCAUCUUCUUCCUGACUAUUUUGAACCGAAGGCAGCUGAGAAACAGCAGACAGAAGAUCUCCGUUUCCUCCCCCAUUUGCCUAAAAGAAGGACAGAAAUUGGUAAAGGUGCCCUCCUCCCUUCUCAACCCGGAAGGAGAGAAGUUCAUUGUUAAUCACAGGAGACAACUUCAGACUCUUGGCAGCCUAGAGACAGCACCGGAGGAACCCACAUAACAAACCUUGCUAACCACCCGUAUCGUCCCAGUGGUCUCCCCAUAUAUUUGCCUUUCCGCAAUUUGCCACUCCUUGAAAACUCAGUCCUUGGCCUUGGCCUUGUCACUUCUCUGCUAGUGUACUGUUCUUUGUUAAGAUGCUACAUAACUGGCCAGGCGCAGUGGCUCAGGGCUGUAAUCCCAGCACUUUGAGAGGCCAAGUCAGGUGGAUCACGAGGUCAAGAGAUUGAGACCAUCCUGGCCAACAAGGUGAAACCCCAUCUCUACUAAAAAUACAAACAUCAGCUGGGUGUGGUGGUGCGUGCCUGUAGUCCCAGCUACUCGGGAGGCUGAGGCAGAAGAAUUGCUUGAAUCUGGGAGGCGGAGGUUGCAGUGAGCUGAGAUCGCGCCACUGCACUCCAGCCUGGUGAAGGAAUGAGACUCCGUCUCAAAAAAAAAAAAGCUACAUAACUGUCCCUUUUGGUUACUCAUCUUUGAGUUUGGUGUGUCUGCACAGUGCACAGUUA
RNAcentral lists this long non-coding RNA (1374 nucleotides) under Homo sapiens (human). RNAcentral's name for it is "HSALNT0151633". Lineage: Eukaryota; Metazoa; Chordata; Mammalia; Primates; Hominidae. The record is from RNAcentral.